GAUAGAACGUAGCGAAAUGCGAUAAGUAAUGUGAAUUGCAGAAUUCAGUGAAUCAUCGAAUCUUUGAACGCACAUUGCGCCCGCCAGUAUUCUGGCGGGCAUGCCUGUUCGAGCGUCAUUUCAACCAUCAAGCCCCCGGCUUGUGUUGGGGACCUGCGGCUGCCGCAGGCCCUGAAAAGCAGUGGCGGGCUCGCUGUCACACCGAGCGUAGUAGCAUACAUCUCGCUCUGGGCGUGCUGCGGGUUCCGGCCGUUAAACCACCUUCAUAACCCAAGGUUGACCUCGGAUCAGGUAGGAAGACCCGCUGAACUUAAGCAUAUCAAUAAGCGGAGGA
Molecule: unclassified non-coding RNA, 334 nt
Filed under: soil metagenome
Description: partial contains 5.8S ribosomal RNA, internal transcribed spacer 2, and large subunit ribosomal RNA
Rfam family: 5.8S ribosomal RNA (bases 4-118)
Source: RNAcentral